GCCCGUGCGACCGAUUGCCGCGUUCGCGGACGAGUCCUCCUUCGAGUCGGGUUGUUCGCUAAUGCAGCCCCAAGCAGGUGGUAAGCUCCAUCUAAGGCUAAAUAUAACCACGAGACCGAUAGUCGACAAGUACAGUGAUGGAAAGUUGAAAAGUACUCUGAAGAGAGAGUCAAAUAGCCCGUGAAGCUGCCAGUAUGGGAUUAAGCGCACGUAUGACGCGUGUCGUCGGCCAAAUAGGCGACUGUUCGGUGUGCGCACCCGUGCCAGUGUGAACGGAAAAUUUCCUGCUGGCGCGUGGUGUUUGCGUGCCGCGGCAGAACGCUUCCCUUUGGUCGGCAUCGACAGGUCGGGGCUUCGUUGUCCAUGGUCUUAUUGCCGGUCGGUGAUUCGCAGAGCCGUGUCGAGCGGUGGCGCCGUUUCGGCGGUGUCCGCCGUGCUCCGUUGAAUGUGCGCUCUCGUGGCGGCAACGGUCGGCCUGGUCUGCGGUGCAAGUGCCGGCCGAUGGCGAACGACCGGGCGACGGCCAGCGCAAAUGCGAAAUGCUCACGCGUUUCGGCUCGGCCUUUGCGUCGUUAUGUGCGGCCCGUCUUGAAACACGGACCAAGGAGUCUAACAUGUGAGCGAGCGAUUGAGAUUGUCUAAUCUUAAACGCGCAAUGAAAGUAAAGUGUCGUNUGACGGCACGAGCGGAGAUCCGCCGUCAUCCGUGGCGGCGGCGCAUCCGCGGGCCGCGCCAUCGGCUGGCUUGCUCUUUUCGGAG
Molecule: ribosomal RNA, 759 nt
Filed under: Arcoscalpellum sp. CJS-2008
Lineage: Eukaryota; Metazoa; Arthropoda; Thecostraca; Scalpellidae
Description: eukaryotic LSU rRNA
Rfam family: Eukaryotic large subunit ribosomal RNA
Source: RNAcentral